RNAcentral lists this small RNA (27 nucleotides) under Bombyx mori (domestic silkworm). Its description in RNAcentral is "ovarian small RNA-25331". Lineage: Eukaryota; Metazoa; Arthropoda; Insecta; Lepidoptera; Bombycidae. The record is from RNAcentral.
UCACGUCGUGGUACGUGAUGCCCCGUU